GAUGAACGCUGGCGGCGUGCUUAACACAUGCAAGUCGAACGAAGCACCUUGAUUUGAUUCUUCGGAUGAAGAUCUUGGUGACUGAGAGGCGGACGGGUGAGUAACGCGUGGGUAACCUGCCUCAUACAGGGGGAUAACAGUUAGAAAUGACUGCUAAUACCGCAUAAGACCACAGCACCGCAUGGUGCAGGGGUAAAAACUCCGGUGGUAUGAGAUGGACCCGCGUCUGAUUAGGUAGUUGGUGGGGUAACGGCCUACCAAGCCGACGAUCAGUAGCCGACCUGAGAGGGUGACCGGCCACAUUGGGACUGAGACACGGCCCAAACUCCUACGGGAGGCAGCAGUGGGGAAUAUUGCACAAUGGGGGAAACCCUGAUGCAGCGACGCCGCGUGAGCGAUGAAGUAUUUCGGUAUGUAAAGCUCUAUCAGCAGGGAAGAAAAUGACGGUACCUGACUAAGAAGCACCGGCUAAAUACGUG
This 479-nucleotide ribosomal RNA is filed under the name uncultured bacterium. Its description in RNAcentral is "partial 16S ribosomal RNA". It matches the Rfam family "Bacterial small subunit ribosomal RNA", at positions 28 to 507 of the family's 1533-position model. The record is from RNAcentral.